RNAcentral lists this long non-coding RNA (7024 nucleotides) under Marmota monax (woodchuck). The record is from RNAcentral. Lineage: Eukaryota; Metazoa; Chordata; Mammalia; Rodentia; Sciuridae.
UGCCUGUAGUCCCAGCAGCUUGGGAGGCUGAGGCAGGAAGAUUGAGAGUUCAAAGCCAGCCUCAGCAACAUAAUGAGGCACUUACCAACUCAGCCAAGAUCCUGUCUCUAAAUAAAAUGUUAAAAAGGGUGGGGGAUGUGGUUCAGUGGUGAAGUACCCCUGUACCCAAAAUAACUUUUUUAAAUAAAAAGGGAUAGGGGUAGAGCACCCCGGGUUCAAUCCUCAGUAUUGUGGAGGUGGAAUGAAAGAAAGAAAUAAAAGAAAAAUGUCAGAGAAGGGCAGUGCUUUAGAAGCACCAGGUGGAAUAUGGGCCCUGUGGAGCCCUCUGGGAAAUUGGCUUGGUAUGUGAGGUAUGUAUGGAGUGUAUUUGGUACAUAUGGGGUAUGUAUGGGAUGUGUAUAACAUAUAUGGUGUGUAUGGGGUAUGCAUGAUGUGUACAGAAUGUAUACAGGGAAUGUAUGGGGUGUACAUGUGUAUGUGAGGUGUAUGAGGGCCAGAUAGUGUAGGGGGGAUAUAUAUGGGGUAAGAAAUGUUAUGAGGUAUGUGUGCUGUGUGUGGAAUACAUAUUGUGUAUGGGGUAUAUAUGUUGUAGAUGGGGUAUAUAGGGUGCAGGUAAUGAGUAUAGGGUAUGUGUGAAUGUAUAAUGUAUAGAUGUGUGGGGGAUAUAUAGGAAAGCAUAUAUGAUGUGUGGGUGGUGUUUGGGGUAUAUGAGGUGUAGGGGUUGUAUGGGAAUGUAUAUGGGGUAUAAGGAUAUAUAUGAAGUGUAUUUGCUGUAUGUAUAUUGGGUGUGCAUAGGGUAGGGUGUGUGUAUGGGGUAUGUUUUACUGUAUAUGGGGUAUAUAUGGGUAUGUGUGUGUGCAUUGGUGUACAUGGGUGUGUAGGGUUUGUAUAAUGUGUGGGGUAUAUGGGGCUCAUGGGGACACACAGGCAGCCAGUCCUGAGAGGUCUAUGGUGAUGGGGGUAAGGAGUGUGGAGGGCCCAGAAUGCUAGGCUGAGAAAGCUUGGACUUCACUGGAAAGGGAAUAGGAAGCCAUGGAAGGCCUCAAGCAGGGUAGUGACAAUGUCACCUUGCUUCAGUCAGUCUGUGUGACUCAGGGAUACAUUGACAGAUUUGUAUGUUGUAUGGAAGGUGGAGUAUAGAAGAAAGGGGAUACAGAGAAGCCAGCAAGAAGGCUACAGUCAUCGUCUAGUCCACAGGUGCUGAGGAUGGCAGGCAUGAGGAGGAGGAGGCACUCAUGAGAAAUAGGAGGACAACUGGAACAGCAACAGUUGCUUAGCAUAGUGCCCCACACACAAUGUUGCUCAAGACCUGUGGCUAUUGUUUCUAGCUAGCCUGUGGAGGGCGAGGGAGCCAGUGACCUCAGGUGACUAAGGUUUGAGGUUAAGAUGAUAAAAAGACCAAGGGAAUGGACUGAGGAUGUGGUCCAUGGGCGGCUCCCCUGGGCAGGCUCUCUGCAGAUUGUUCUGAGGUGUAAUCUUCUCCCAAAGCCUUUCUAGGCAUUCUGGGCCAGGUGUCAGGACACCCGAAUCUAAUUCCACUUCUAGAAGCUAUGAGCUAUGCAGCUCAUUGCAUAGAUUUGGGCAAACCAUGUCCCCUGGGCUUUGGUUUAUUGGGAAUAUCAAUGAUCACUGUACUGCAAAAAUGUGUAUUUAAAAUGCUCAAAGCAAGCCAGGCAUGGUGACACACUUCUGUGAUCCCAGCUACUCAGGAGACCGAGGCGGGAGGAUCUCAGUUUGAGGCCCUCUCUCAAAAUAAAAAAUGAAAAGGGCUAGGGGAAGUAGCUCAGUGGCAAAACACCCCUGAGUUCAAUUUCUAGUACCACAAAAAGUAAAAAAAAAAAAAAAUGUUCAGUGCAAUGGGGAAAGGGAGAGGCAGUGGGGCUGACAGGAUGGAGGGGCUCUUAGUCUGACUCAACAGGCCCACGUGGAGAGCAGACCUGUGGGUAGUGUGGUGACAGACACUGGUUUAACUGUGCUCUCCUGCCUGACAGCAUGUGAGGGGGCUUGUGGUGGAGCGUGGGUGAAGCUGUGACAGACCCUCACCUGUGGUUACAGUUCUAUACCCUCAGCAUCCACAUGCUGGGCCUCCACACAGCCCUGGAUUACAGAGGCAGAUACUGAAGUGAGGUGACAACUCAAGGUCCUUCAGUGACUCUAUGCAGAGCAAGAAUUUGAACUCAGGACUGAACUACCUCUAGGGCCUGUGCUAUUUUCUCUGAGUCUCAGUGGAAAGAGUGAGGGAAAGGGUUGCGUGACAUAGGGGCAGCCCAAGCAAAAAGUCAGGGGCCCUAUGGUGGAGCAGGGUGAGUGGCUCUGGGCAGACAUAGGCACCAGAUGGUUACCAGGGAAAGUUCAGCAAAUAUGGUGACUCCACCAUCACACACACACACAUGCAGAGGUUCUCAUGCCAUUCUCCUCCACAGUGUUCUUACCAACCUAGUCACCAUCUCUAAGGUAGGGCUCUAUCCUAGCAGUGAGUGGCAGAGCAACAGGAACCUGAGCCCAGCAGGGGCAGUGCCCAGCUCCUCCAGGCACUUUUGUGAUCUGCUCACUUUGUUUACCAACUCCCCAAUGUUUCCAGCUUUGGAAUCAGGCAACCCUGGGCCCCAGAUACAAAUAUUUAAUUUACUGAUGCUCAACCUCUUUGAGCCUCAGCAUGUAGCAUGGUGAGGUGCCUGGGAGAUAGCAGGUACUCUGGGAGGAUGGCUGUGAUUGUCUCUCUGCUCAUUUCUUCCCUAUUCCCACCCCUUCAAGACCUCUCCCUUGAGCACAGCAAAAAUGAGGGUGUGGUUGAUGUGGAACAUGAGUAUCUGGACCAUUUUGACAUUUUCAGGACAGCUGUUCUGGGUCUGGCCCUGUGCUCAGCUGGGCUCUACAGUUGGGGAUUGUGGUGGAUGAUUCAGGUUUAUGGGAGACAGAUUUAAUCACAGUCACUCUGAUCAAGACAGGAGAGCCAGAAACACCACAGGUCGCUGACUGGGCUCAGGGACCAGUGAGCUCCUCUGCUAGGGUCACCAUUGGCUCCUUACUCCUGGCUGGCUGAGUAGGGUCUCAAAGGCUAGGCUGUCAGAGGGGUGAGACUGAUGAGGAAGGCAUGUGGAUGAAGGGAACAGCUUGGGCAGAGGAGGUAGGAAGUGUGCAGGUAGCAGGUCCAGAGCAUGCCAGGCUGAGAAUACACUAGGCGGGGUGCCUCAGAUGCCCAAGUGACACACUGGACUAUUCUCAAUUCGGGUCUCAGUUGUAGACAGUAAAGGAACAGGGGAGGCCCUGCACUCACACUUGUAGCAAGCUGGGAAUUCCCAUAUAUAACACAGUGCUCCACCUGAAAGAGGCCAAGGAGACUGUCCCAACCCCUACCAGACAUCUUCCCUCUAAGCUCUGGAGGACAGUGCCACCCUCUUCCUGACCUGGGAGUUCUUGGCCUGGAACCCUGAGGGUCUACAAGUAGGUUUCAGGGGUCCACUCAUCCAGGCCAACCAAGUGUAGACCACUGAGCCAGGCCCUGGGAGAGCACGGUGAGCCAGGCAGUUGCACAUCUUUGCCCUUGUGGAAGUCAUUGUCUGGGGAGGAGACACUCAAAAUAAUAAGUAAACAAGAGAAGAGCAAAGUCAAUCCAGAUUAUGGUAAAUGGUCAGUGCUUGUGGGGAAUAGAGUGGCCCACUGGAGUUUGAAAGCAAGAAAGCCCUGUGCCAGGAGGUGAGCAAUGAGAAUGAGAAGGAAGCCACCUGGGGAAGCAGUCUGAGGGAAGAGCACUUCCAGCUAAGGGAAGAUAUUUUACUGGGCAAGGGAAGAAUGACUUCCCUUCAGCCUUCUGGGUUCUUUGGGCUACCAAUUGAACUGACAUAGGGCAGCUUAACAAGAGAAAACAGAUAAAAAGGAUCAGAAGCAGUGUCAGGUGAGUAGCAUCCUGAGCUACAGAAAGAAAUAGGGGCUUAGGAAUUUUGGGGGUGGAGACAUGCUUUGUGGGAGGGUCCGGGAGGAACUGAGUAGUGAAUAAAGUUCGUCUUGGUAUACAGAUAAUAUCUCUCAGGUAAUGAAAGUAAUCUCUUCCUGUAGAUUACUAGUGUGUGUGUGUGUGUGUGUGUGUGUGUGUUUGUGUGUGUGUGAGAAAGAGAGACAGACAGACACUGGGGAUUGAACCCAGAGGUAUUUUACCACUGAGCUAUAUCCCCAGCCCUUUUAUUAUUUUUUGAGAUAGGGCUUACUGCAUUGCUGAGAGUCUUGCUAAGUUACUGAGGCCUUGAACUUGAGGUCCUCCUGCUUCAGCCUCCUGGUUUUUGGGAUUUCAGGUGUGUGCCACCACACCCAGUUAGGUUUCCUUUAUGAAUAAAAUUUCUCUUACAACAGGACAGCUUUUCGGAAUUACUCCUCAAUUUUUUUCAGAAUAACCAGCUCAAACUAUGCCAAAGAAAUAAAUUUAGGGGUGACACUUUCUUGUCUCCUCCAGUUAUAUCUUGGGGGGGUAUGUCUUGAGCCCUUUGGUCUACAUAAGGGGAUGGGAAGGGCUCUGAUGCUUGCCUCAGAUUCUCGAAGGUAUCCCUGACCCCCAAAUAGGUAUGUUAUGUUCUACUUUGGGGCAAUGGCAGGGAGAGCAUGAAUCGCAGCUCUGGGAAAUGAGAUUUGGGGUCUGUUCAGUGUUCUUACUAAGAAGAAAUCCAGGGAAAUAUUUUCUGGCUUGAAUAACAGGACUAGUUGUGCUUCACCAGAACAAUUUCUUUCUCCAAUUUUGUGGACACUGUGAAUGAUGCUGACUGAUCGUUUUCAUCUUUAUGUUGGCUUCAAGAAAGCUUAUUUCAUUCAUGUAUGAAUUUAUCCAAUGAAUAAUUUUAUUAAGCUUCUCUUGAGUGCUAGUGCUGUGUUUACAGCAAAAAGUGGGGUCAUCACAGAAAGUGCCAGCAUUGGUCGAUAUGUAUAUAAGAUGUCAGUUGACCGCCUUCCUGUCUGAUUAGAUUCUUUUUGUUUGUUUCUUUUUUGUUUUGGUACUGGGGAUUGAAUGCAGGGGCACUCCACCACUGAGCCACAUCCCCAGCCCUAUUUUGUAUUUUAUUUAGAGAAAGGGUCUCACUGAGUUGUUUAGCACCUUGCUUAUGCUGAGGCUGGCUUUGAACUUGUGAUCCUCCUGCCUCAGUCUCCCAAGCUGCUGGGAUUAUGGGCGUGUGCCACUGCACUAGGCAGAUUCUUUCCUUUUCUUUCUUUUUUUUAAUAUUUAUUUUUUAGUUUUCGGUGGACACAACAUCUUUAUUUUAUUUUUAUGUGGUGCUGAGGAUCGAACCCAGCGCCCCGCGCAUGCCAGGCGAGCACGUUACCGCUUGAGCCACAUCCCCAGCCCUUCUUUCCUUUUCUUAAACCACUAUUUCUAUUCUGUCUUUUUUUUUUGCCUGCCCCAUAAUUGUGACUUUUAUUUUACCAUAUUAUAUAUUUUUAUGAGCCAGCACAAAAUUUUCUGGGCAAGGUAGAAGUAUAAAGAAAAAGAAAUAGAAUAUAGAUGCCUACUGUGAUAUUGGCUAAUAUAUAUUUAGUCUUUGUUUCUCUUUUCCUGUCAUACAAAUCCUAAAGUCCUUGGACUCUCCAAAGUGAUACAUGGCUUUCUAUGCAUGGCUGAUGGCAGCCCCUAGGCAGCAGGUUGGAGCUGUUCUUGGGAAAGAUGGAGGCAGGAUUGGAGGAUUGGGACUUUCAGCCCUACCUCCAAUCCCCGAGAAGAGAGGGAGGGACUAAGUUGUGAAGUUGACUACCACUGACGGAUGAUGUCAUCAAUCAUGUCAUAAACUCCAGAAGGACAGGGUUCAGAAAGCUUCCAGGUAGUGGAAUACAAGAAGGUUCCUGGUGGUGGUGCAACUAGAGAGGGCUUGGGAGGUCCACACCCCUUCCCCCAUACCUGGCUGUAUGCAUCUCUUUCUCCAUGUGUUUUAUAAUAUCUUUUAUGAUAAACCAAGAAAUUUACCUGUUUCCCUGAGUUCUGUGAACCACUCUAGGAAAUUAAUUGAACCCAAGGAGGGGGUGAUGGAAUGCAGAUUUAGAUCCAGUUGGUCAGAAGCACAGGUAAAAACAACUUGGGGCUCACUGUUGGGAUCAGAAGCAUGGUGGAGGGUGGGACAGUCUUGUGGAACUGAGCCCUCAUCUUGUGGGAUCUGACAUGGUCUCCCAGUAGAGGGUAUCAGAAUUAACCUAAAUUAGAGGUCAUCCAGUUGGUAUCCAUUGCUGAGGGACUUUUGUUUGGUGUGUAUGGGAAAACUCCCAUGCAUCUGGGGUCACAGAAGUAUUUUGAGUAGUGAGAAUGUAGGAGAAACUGAGUUUUCCCCUCUAUCUUCUCACUACUUUAUUUCUUCUCAGGGAGAGGAACUGGAAAUUGAGUGAUGAGAAAUCCAGACCAGCCCUCAGAACCCUUUAAAAGAUUGCCACUCCAAUCCUUAAAAGAUUUUCAGUAACAAAAUCUUAAGCCUGUGUGAACACAAACAAGACAACUGUAAGAAACCCAAUACAUUCAUCUCCUAGAUGACACCAUUAUCAACAUUUCACCAUACUUUCUGCAUUUAUUUUGCCCCAUCUCCUUUUUUUUGUUUCAUUUUCCAAAAUAUUUUGAAAACUUUCAACUCAAAAUGGGGUCUGAGGACCAGUAGCAGCAUUGGCGUCACUGAUGAGCUUUUUAGAACAGAAUAUCAGCCCUGCUCCCUGACCUCCUCAGUCAGAAUCUUCAAUUUAAUGAGAUUCUCAAAUGAUUCAUUCACACAUUAAUGGUUCAGGAGCAUUACUUUAGAGCAAAUCACAAAUGAAAUGUAGUAAUGUCAUUUCACCCCUCACUGCAUUUAUGAAGAAGAGCAUGUUUUCUUACACAUAGUGUUCUCAUCAACUAAUAAAAUUAAUGAUAAUUCUUUGGUAUCAUCUAAUAUGCUGGCCACAUAAAAAUUUCCCUGUCUUAAAAUGUCUUUUAACGGUUGAUUUGUCAUAUUAAGAUUCAAACAAGGAAAAAUAAAAGGGGAUCAGAGGCUCUUGGUCAGAUGCUACCUUCCUCUAGUCUUACUCCCAU